AAAUCCCUGAGUGUUAGUGUUUUGUUGUGUUCCCAAUCCAAAAUCCCCGAAGCUUGUCCAUCCUUCAUGCUCACCUGCACUGUCGUGCUCAUCCCUACACUGUUGCUGUUGGGACUCGAUAUGUGAAUAAUAUGGUUGGGAUAGGGUGGCCUCAGAAUCAUCAUCUCACUCAUUUUCUCUUAGACCCCCUUCCCACUCUCCCUCAUUAGGUGCAAUAUCACCAACAUCUCCGACGAAUUGUGGAUACGUUGGCUGACUGCUUCUUCUUUCA
This 271-nucleotide long non-coding RNA is filed under the name Amborella trichopoda. RNAcentral describes it as "long non-coding RNA (ATRI_LNC001793)". The record is from RNAcentral. Lineage: Eukaryota; Viridiplantae; Streptophyta; Magnoliopsida; Amborellales; Amborellaceae.